Non-coding RNA from Caenorhabditis elegans, 72 nucleotides. NCBI's taxonomy places the organism in Eukaryota, Metazoa, Nematoda, Chromadorea, Rhabditida, Rhabditidae. The record is from the annotation of a RefSeq genome assembly.
GGCCAAAUGGCGCAGUGGAAAAAUUCAUGGCUAAGAAUUAUCACACCGGGGUUCGACUCCCCGCUGUGGUCG